Molecule: long non-coding RNA, 4850 nt
Organism: Oncorhynchus keta (chum salmon)
Lineage: Eukaryota; Metazoa; Chordata; Actinopteri; Salmoniformes; Salmonidae
Exons: 4
Source: RefSeq, a predicted model, not a curated record
UUUUACUUGUCUUUCUCUCCUCUGUGGUUCUCUGAGCAGUCCAUUUACACAUAAUGGUGCAACUCUCUAUCUUUCUCUCCUCUGUGGUUCUCUGAGCAGUCCAUUUACACAUAAUGGUGCAACUCUCUAUCUUUCUCUCCUCUGUGGUUCUCUGGGCAGUCCAUUUACACAUAAUGGUGCAACUCUCUAUCUUUCUCUCCUCUGUGGUUCUCUGGGCAGUCCAUUUACACAUAAUGGUGCAACUCACUCUUUCUCUCCUCCUCCUCUCUCUACCUCCAGUGAUGACCACUCUCAGAAGAAGCCCAUCUACACAGCCAGUGUUGAGUCUUUGGCCUCUACCGGUGGAGACAAACAACCACUGGUGUGACCGCGCCGAGAGAUGGAGAGGAGAAGUAGAGGAACAAAUGGAGAAAGAUGGUAAAGGGGGCAAGGGAGUGAGGAAUAGGAAGGAGGGAAGAUAUCGAGGUGGGAGGAGAGGUGCCUGGGUAAUGGAUGCAGAGUUGCAGUGAGCCAGGAUGCAGAGUAAAAUCGAAGCUAUUAUCAAAGGCUGGCUGCGUCUAAGAGGAGGAAGACAAAUGAUUGUUUUACUGGGGUGGUUUGCUUCCAGCGGGGUUGGCUGAAGUGUUCUUGAACAAAAGGUGUGCAAUUUUCUCUUUAUUGAUCUCGCAACCUGCAAAAUUGACAUUCACUUUCUUAUCUGAGGCAAGGCGAGGGGGAGGAGUCUUUUGUACUGUGUGAACCCUGAGCAGCUGCAGACCGGUUUCAGGAGGUUACCUUGAGAUAAACUGCUCACCACCACCACUUUGCAGCCUUGGGCUCACAAAACGGAAUGCCUCUUACGUUGCAAAUAUAAUGUGAUGCUGUAUCACAAAUGUGCCUUUUCCCCUCAAUGCUUUUACGUGGUGUAGAAUAUUGGUGUGGAUUUUUUUUCUCAAGGAAAUGUAUAACCUUGUGUAGCGUACUAGUGGUGACGCACUUCAAAGUAUACAGACAAGAUGUACACUUGUAGAUUAUUUCUACAAGUAUCAAGUAUAUUUCUAGUAUCUCUAUAUUCCAAUGACAACUGAAGCACUUUCAAACAUUACCCUCAGAGCUGUAUUUCCUGCACGUUUAAUAUUCAUGAUAUAAAGUUCCUUUGAGACAUUCUAAUAGUAAUUCCCCAGUGUCUUUUAUCAUUGAUUUAAAUGUAGGACAUAUCGAGAGUGGGAGGAGUAUUGACAAUGCUGUGAAAGAUGGAUGCUGGUACAAGCUUGAACACAUACAGUAAAUCCAAUGGCCUCUUGACCUCACCCUCUCUAUAACCUCAGUUCCCUCCACUUCCUAUCCAUUCUGCAAGGCCUUCCUCUACUGCUGACCUUUACUGCACCUCACACACGCCAUCUAACCACGGAGAGAGAGCCUGCAUACGAUAUGCCCAGUCAAUAACAGAAGACCGACAGACAACCUUGAGGCAUCUACCCAUUGUUUUAAGUGAGGCUAUGUAUGUGGUUACACAUGGUUCAUUCCCCACUGCAUCCUACAGCACCAUUAAUAACUCUCCCUCUCCCAGCCAGGCUACAACUUCAUUAUUUCAUUUUCUCCUCUGUUGCCUUUCUAACCUUAACGUAUUUGCUUCACCGCUUAUCACUAUAGCGGCUCUUCUCAUAACUAUUUAUUUCAUUACGCCUGGACUGUCUGAUGUUUUACUAUGUGUGCCUGGUUGAAGGUAGGCUGCCGUUAAUAACGGGAAGGAGAUGCUGUGGUUUAAUGAUGACACUCUGUUAAAAGGAACCGUCCACGCGCUACAGAGCACAGCGAGGAUAAUGUUAUUAAACUGAUUAUUCAAGUCUCUGGCCACCGUCUGGCUUGUUUACAGGCCAUUUGUGUGUCCUAGCUGCUAGGUGGAAAGGCUGAGGUCAAAACGGUGGAGCCAAAAGUCCAUAAAACAGUCAUGCUUCAUCAAAAUACCAUUUGGAAAUUUGAAGCGCUCUUCAUUUGAAAUGCCAGUGAACAGCGUUUUAUUUUGGCCUUUGAGGCAUUUAUGGGUCAAAAGCAUCCGCCUUCAUGGAUGUUGCUGGUUCAACAGGAUGGCCAAGGACUACUAGACGACAGUGAGGUCAGUCGCAUGAGGGUUUUCUGCCUUCAUGGAUGUUGCUGGUUCAACAGGAUGGCCAAGGACUACUAGACGACAGUGAGGUCAGUCGCAUGAGGGUUUUCUGCCUUCAUGGAUGUUGCUGGUUCAACAGGAUGGCCAAGGACUACUAGACGACAGUGAGGUCAGUCGCAUGAGGGUUUUCUGCCUUCAUGGAUGUUGCUGGUUCAACAGGAUGGCCAAGGACUACUAGACGACAGUGAGGUCAGUCGCAUGAGGGUUUUCUGCCUUCAUGGAUGUUGCUGGUUCAACAGGAUGGCCAAGGACUACUAGACGACAGUGAGGUCAGUCGCAUGAGGGUUUUCUGCCUUCAUGGAUGUUGCUGGUUCAACAGGAUGGCCAAGGACUACUAGACGACAGUGAGGUCAGUCGCAUGAGGGUUUUCUGCCUUCAUGGAUGUUGCUGGUUCAACAGGAUGGCCAAGGACUACUAGACGACAGUGAGGUCAGUCGCAUGAGGGUUUUCUGCCUUCAUGGAUGUUGCUGGUUCAACAGGAUGGCCAAGGACUACUAGACGACAGUGAGGUCAGUCGCAUGAGGGUUUUCUGCCUUCAUGGAUGUUGCUGGUUCAACAGGAUGGCCAAGGACUACUAGACGACAGUGAGGUCAGUCGCAUGAGGGUUUUCUGCCUUCAUGGAUGUUGCUGGUUCAACAGGAUGGCCAAGGACUACUAGACGACAGUGAGGUCAGUCGCAUGAGGGUUUUCUGCCUUCAUGGAUGUUGCUGGUUCAACAGGAUGGCCAAGGACUACUAGACGACAGUGAGGUCAGUCGCAUGAGGGUUUUCUGCCUUCAUGGAUGUUGCUGGUUCAACAGGAUGGCCAAGGACUACUAGACGACAGUGAGGUCAGUCGCAUGAGGGUUUUCUGCCUUCAUGGAUGUUGCUGGUUCAACAGGAUGGCCAAGGACUACUAGACGACAGUGAGGUCAGUCGCAUGAGGGUUUUCUGCCUUCAUGGAUGUUGCUGGUUCAACAGGAUGGCCAAGGACUACUAGACGACAGUGAGGUCAGUCGCAUGAGGGUUUUCUGCCUUCAUGGAUGUUGCUGGUUCAACAGGAUGGCCAAGGACUACUAGACGACAGUGAGGUCAGUCGCAUGAGGGUUUUCUGCCUUCAUGGAUGUUGCUGGUUCAACAGGAUGGCCAAGGACUACUAGACGACAGUGAGGUCAGUCGCAUGAGGGUUUUCUGCCUUCAUGGAUGUUGCUGGUUCAACAGGAUGGCCAAGGACUACUAGACGACAGUGAGGUCAGUCGCAUGAGGGUUUUCUGCCUUCAUGGAUGUUGCUGGUUCAACAGGAUGGCCAAGGACUACUAGACGACAGUGAGGUCAGUCGCAUGAGGGUUUUCUGCCUUCAUGGAUGUUGCUGGUUCAACAGGAUGGCCAAGGACUACUAGACGACAGUGAGGUCAGUCGCAUGAGGGUUUUCUGCCUUCAUGGAUGUUGCUGGUUCAACAGGAUGGCCAAGGACUACUAGACGACAGUGAGGUCAGUCGCAUGAGGGUUUUCUGCCUUCAUGGAUGUUGCUGGUUCAACAGGAUGGCCAAGGACUACUAGACGACAGUGAGGUCAGUCGCAUGAGGGUUUUCUGCCUUCAUGGAUGUUGCUGGUUCAACAGGAUGGCCAAGGACUACUAGACGACAGUGAGGUCAGUCGCAUGAGGGUUUUCUGCCUUCAUGGAUGUUGCUGGUUCAACAGGAUGGCCAAGGACUACUAGACGACAGUGAGGUCAGUCGCAUGAGGGUUUUCUGCCUUCAUGGAUGUUGCUGGUUCAACAGGAUGGCCAAGGACUACUAGACGACAGUGAGGUCAGUCGCAUGAGGGUUUUCUGCCUUCAUGGAUGUUGCUGGUUCAACAGGAUGGCCAAGGACUACUAGACGACAGUGAGGUCAGUCGCAUGAGGGUUUUCUGCCUUCAUGGAUGUUGCUGGUUCAACAGGAUGGCCAAGGACUACUAGACGACAGUGAGGUCAGUCGCAUGAGGGUUUUCUGCCUUCAUGGAUGUUGCUGGUUCAACAGGAUGGCCAAGGACUACUAGACGACAGUGAGGUCAGUCGCAUGAGGGUUUUCUGCCUCCAUGGUUGUGUUUGGAUAGCUCUGGCCCCUAGGCACUGACCUAGAAUCAGAUUUCCCUUCUAAUGUCACCAGGUAAAGUUGAGGGCUGCCCUUAGACACUGGCAUAUGGUCUGGCUUCUGACCUCAUGUCAGGAGCUAAAGGUCAUAGGAUUGGAGUAGGCUUACAAAAAGAUGACCAGCUACAAUUUUACCUUAGAUAUCAUAUUGGAAUAAUUAUUAGGAAUCAUUAUUAUUAUCCUGCACCAAGUAUUUAUCAUUGCUGAUUUUGUUUCCUAAGAAUAUCCAUUCACAAUAUAGUGAUAAGUAUACCCAUAACCACACACAUUGGUUAUUACAUUAAGUCUAUAGCUGAUGCUACUUGACCUGCAGUCAAUGAUAAACUAUGCUGUGAACUGGAGUGCAACAUGUUUCAGCAAGACAGCAGUAUACCUGUCUACAGAAGCCUGUCUCAGUGGACAUCUCCAGCAUGUAUAGUUCUCUUGAAUAAUAUAGCAACUAGGACCCGCUCAAAGACAUUUUUAGAACACGUGGUCUCUAUUCUGUUGAAUUGCUAUAGACUGGCACAUUCGUGUACGUCACUUGGUUUUGUAUGUUUCCUUGUAUAUAAAAACAUGUAUGGACUGAAAUAAAAUAUAAGUUUUCUCUGGA